AGAGAGGAAUUAGGGUUUUUAAUAAAAAAGAAAUUCAAAGCAAUAUGUUUUUUUGAUGGAACAAAGAGAUAGGAAUAAGGGUUUGGAUUAAAAUGAAAAAGGAAGGAGGAAAAUAACAAAAGCAAAAGGGAAGAAGGGGAAAGUGAAACUGCAGAAGGGCGGGGGCGGCAGCUUAUUUCAACUUUUCCUUUUUUUUUUUUUUUUUUUGGCUUUACAGUUGACACGUUAAGUUACUGUGCCGUUUGUGGACUUCUUUUUCUUGUGUCAAGCCAAACACGACAUUAAACAACUCACAGCAAGAGACUGUAGGAUAACUCACAGGGGGGAUUUGAGCCCUAUUUCAAGGCCAUGUCUAGUAUUCACUUUUAACUCUUUUAUAUGUAUAAAUAUGCAGGAUCUUCCGCGAACCUUUCCUGGUCACCCAUGGUUGGUCACCCCAGAGGGUCAUGCUGCUCUCAGACGUGUCCUUGUGGGAUAUUAUUCUGAUGUUGGUUACUGUCAGGUGGGUUAACUUUUUUUAUUUUAUAAUAAGUAAUAACAAUAACACUAAGGGUUCAUUUCACUUAUUAUUAUUAUUAUUAUUAUAAUAAAUUAUAAGUUGUGGAACACUUACUUUCAGAAAGACAAGUUUUACAUGGUUCUAAAAAAUCUCAUAUAAAUAAACAAUAGUAGUUGGAUAUAUUGGAAGCUACACGGGAAAUAAUCAAUUAGUCUAUUUUUUAAAAUUUUUUUACAAGUUAAUACAAAUGUUAAAGAUAACUAAGAAAUGGGUAAGUUUUUUAAAAUAGGAAAAAGGACUGAUUAAUUGAUGGAAAAUGAUAUUUAUGCCGAUGGAAUUCGCCGAUUUGUUAGACAGAAUUUUACUUUGCGUCUAGUUGGCAAAAAAACAUAGGUCCAUUCAUCUUCCCUGUCUCUCCUCUGCCUCUCUAACCUCCCUCGAGUUGCAGAUCUGAUCUGAACACAAGGGAAACGGUGAGACCGGUACAAAUUUGCAUCUGUGGAGAAGAAGCAGAGACACGGCCGGCGAAGCUGAUCGGAAUAGACAAUUGGAAAGUUUACAAACCGGCACCGACGGGAACAGUCUCUUCACGGCGUCGCAGAAGGAGAUGGGAUCGGCGGCGGUGGGCGCCAGAGAUCUACAGCGGAGGACGGUGAGGAGGUUCUUGGAGGAUCUUGGAUCUGUGAGCAGGGUUGGUGUGUUGGGUAUCGGGCAGUGAUGGUUGACGGCGAGUUGCUGUGGAUGAAGGGUGCAAACGUGUCGGCCGACGGUGACGAUGAAUCGUGGAAGACGCCGGUGAGUUUGGUUCAAUUUUUUUCGAUCGCGAAAUUUCAGAUUGUCAUCUUUGUGCGUGGGUCGCCGGUGGCUCUCACGAGUUGUGUUUUCACCGUAAGAAACUGGUCUGAUUUUGCUGUUGUUGUUUGCAUUGGUGAGGCUUCAUCGGUUCUUUGUCUUUUUGGCCGGAAGUUGCAGAGGUUUACCGGCGUUCUCGGCUGUCGUCUUUUUCGUCGAAAGCUUCUUACGGUCAGAUUCUCAAACUCCAAGCAGUCCUUCGUCGUGGUGGGUUGUAGACUUGCAGUUUGGCUCAAUCUUGUCGUCGGGUGUUUUGUUUGCCGUCGCCGUGCCUUGCCGAGAGCUUGCCUUUGUAACUUUGUUUUGGUUGUUGGUCGGAUAUUCAGGCUUUUGAUAAGAGGUCAUGUAUUCUGUAACUCUGAUUGGUUUUCGUACAUGUACACUUGCACUUUCCAACUGAUAGUCCUUUAUAUUUUUGGAAUAUCCCAUUCAUUUGUCUUAGCUGAUUGGAGUGAUAGUUUGGAAUGUUUUCUAUGAAUUGCUUGUUUGUUUCGUGCCGCAGAUCUUCCCUACAAGGACUACCAGAGCAACCAGAAUUUCAGUGUCACUACUUACUCUUCUACUAGUGUCGAAAAAACAACAAAUUAUGGACGGCGGAAGUUGGCAUCCACACGAGAGAUGAAGAAGCACUACUAAAUUUCAAAACGUGGAGGGAUAUUCCAGAUUCUGAGAGACAGGUUUGCUAUGAUCAUUUUAAGGUAAUGUGUUCUUUUCUUUUCAUUCGAUACAAUGCUAAAUACUCGAACAAUUUAAAUUCUAAGAACCACCAUACUCUUAUAUUCGGUAUACCUCCAAUUUCAUGCAAUAACUACAUUUAAUUAAUACAAUAAGCAAAUUUGCCUGGUAGCAUCCAUUCUUAUGCCUGGGACUAACAAUGAAAAUGACCCCUGUAAGUAGGACUAACACUACUGGGGAUGUUUUUGUUUUGGUCCAUGAGAAUUGAAAGACAGCCAGCUACUUCAUUCAUUCGACUUCCAGCCCAGAUUCAGGGUAUGGAAGGAUUGGAUUCCAGAUUUUAACAGCGCACUAAAGAAGAUAAGAAUUUUACCACUCAAUUUAUAAAAUAUCAAAGAACGAAAUCGAAGAACGAAAAUUUUUUCCCAAGUUAAUAUGAAACUGUUAGCUUAGUAACUUAUUGCAACUCUUUGUUGGUUUAGACCACCAUUUGCGCUGAUCAAUAUAAGAAAUUUCUUGUUCUUUUAGCAUGAUUGAUGAUGAGAACCAGAUUGAAAAUUGGCUUCUCCCAGUGGCGUCUCUCAUUAUGGGUUUUGUUUCAUAGGCUGUAAGAUUUAAAAAGAUAUUUUUCAAGAAGCUUUAUAUUUCAGAGAGAUUUGCCUGAUUUAAAGACCAAGUGGUUCCAUCAUAUGCACAAACAGCUAUAGUGAGAAGUAAACCAAGGGGGGUCAAAUUUCUACUGCCUUGCUGUAAUCACAGUGAAAAUAUUUAAUUUUGUACCGGUGCCAUAGGAGCUCGUCACUAAAGAAGCUGUUGUAGGAUGCUAGAUUUUCUUUUUUGGUUGUAAAUCUUAGUAGUUUUGGAAAAUGGCAAUUUCACAUGUACAUAUUAAGGUGGAGAGAUUAUUUAUGGAACUUAUAAUGGUUAUUGAAAUUACUUGGGAAAUAAUAACUUUAAUCUCACCUAAAAUAUAUAUAUAUAUAUAUAUAUAUAUAUAUAUAUAUAUAUAUAUAUAUAUGUUAUUGAAUAAAAAGUGUCAGAUAUGAAGUUAGUCUUUGCCAUUUAACUUUUGAAGCCUUGCAAGUUAUCAAUAGGUGCAUGUUGGUUAUGCAUUUUACUCUAAUAGUAUCUCAGAUAGAUGGGUUGCCAGUUUUGAGAUUUGGACAUAUGUCCUGUAAUAGUAUUUGGCUUAGGGGAAAGUCUUAGUAUUUGGAUAAUUGUUCUGUAGUUUGUUUUGGGAGAGAUCGGUAGAUGGUCUUUGUUUUUAGUUUAUUUCAUCGGUUGUUUUUGUUGCUUGGGUUUACCUUUUUAUUGGGAAAAAUUCUGGUUUUUAGUUAUUCAAAAAAUGUGGUAUUUAAACCGAUUUGGGGUUUGUUCAUUGUUAAUGGUUUUGUUUUAGCAAGGGAUAAUCUCUGGUUUUGAUUGUAAAUGAGUUAUAUAUGCUUGUUUAGAUUACAGUUUCUUUAUUUAAAUUUUGGGGAUAAUUUUUAAUUUAUUUCUUCAUCUGUUCUUUUUAAAUUUGAAAAAACUAGAAUUUUGGUUUAGAGAGUUGGAGCUUAGAGAAGAUACAGGUGGAUGUUACUAGAGUCCUAGUUAUUUUACAGAGACAAGGGGCAACUGAGCCUUUAAGAUGACUGUGAUGGGAGAUUGUUUUAUUUUACAUGUACAAGGAGGAACUAAGGCUUUGAGAGGUUUGUAGCAGAUCGAGUUCAGAUUUCAGCAUGCUACAAUUGAACUUCUUUUGGACAUUGAAAAUAUGACCUCUUUGUAAAAGCAUAUUCAAUCCUAAACGCUGCAUGUUCGGAUCAAAUUAUAGUUUUGUUUAUCUCUUAGUUAUAAGUUGCUUCAGGAGAUGUAUUCAAUUUGCAGGUAGCUCUGCUUUUCAUAAUACAUGUUCAUUGAUAGCACCUGUAAAAAUGGAUCUAUACUUUUUAUGUCU
This is a long non-coding RNA of Cornus florida, 3965 nucleotides long. RefSeq lists it as uncharacterized. The transcript has 2 exons. Lineage: Eukaryota; Viridiplantae; Streptophyta; Magnoliopsida; Cornales; Cornaceae. The record is from RefSeq and is a predicted model, not a curated record.